RNAcentral lists this ribosomal RNA (433 nucleotides) under uncultured bacterium. RNAcentral's name for it is "partial 16S ribosomal RNA". It matches the Rfam family "Bacterial small subunit ribosomal RNA", at positions 29 to 507 of the family's 1533-position model. The record is from RNAcentral.
AACGAACGCUGGCGGCAUGCCUAACACAUGCAAGUCGAACGAGACCUUCGGGUCUAGUGGCGCACGGGUGCGUAACGCGUGGGAAUCUGCCCUUGGGUUCGGAAUAACAGUUGGAAACGACUGCUAAUACCGGAUGAUGACGUAAGUCCAAAGAUUUAUCGCCCAAGGAUGAGCCCGCGUAGGAUUAGCUAGUUGGUGAGGUAAAGGCUCACCAGGGCGACGAUCCUUAGCUGGUCUGAGAGGAUGAUCAGCCACACUGGGACUGAGACACGGCCCAGACUCCUACGGGAGGCAGCAGUGGGGAAUAUUGGACAAUGGGCGAAAGCCUGAUCCAGCAAUGCCGCGUGAGUGAUGAAGGCCUUAGGGUUGUAAAGCUCUUUUACCCGGGAUGAUAAUGACAGUACCGGGAGAAUAAGCUCCGGCUAACUCCGUG